GACGAACGCUGGCGGCGUGCUUAACACAUGCAAGUCGAACGGAAAGGCCCUGCUUUUGUGGGGUGCUCGAGUGGCGAACGGGUGAGUAACACGUGAGUAACCUGCCCUUGACUUUGGGAUAACUUCAGGAAACUGGGGCUAUUACCGGAUAGGAGCUCCUGCUGCAUGGUGGGGGUUGGAAAGUUUCGGCGGUUGGGGAUGGACUCGCGGCUUAGCAGCUUGUUGGUGGGGUAGUGGCUUACCAAGGGUUUGACGGGUAGCCGGCCUGAGAGGGUGACCGGCCACAUUGGGACUGAGAUACGGCCCAGAAGCCUACGGGAGGCAGCAGUGGGGAAUAUGGCACAAUGGGCGGAAGCCUGAUGCAGCAACGCCGCGUGCGGGAUGACGGCCUUCGGGUUGUAAACCGCUUUCGCCUGUGACGAAGCGUGAGUGACGGUAAUGGGUAAAGAAGCACCGGCUAACUACGUG
Molecule: ribosomal RNA, 468 nt
Filed under: uncultured bacterium
Lineage: Bacteria
Description: partial 16S ribosomal RNA
Rfam family: Bacterial small subunit ribosomal RNA
Source: RNAcentral